GAUGAACGCUGGCGGCGUGCCUAAUACAUGCAAGUCGAGCGAACAGACGCUGAGCUUGCUCCUCUGUCGUUAGCGGCGGACGUGUGAGUAACACGUGUAUAACCUACCUAUAAGACUGGGAUAACUUCGGGAAACCGGAGCUAAUACCGGAUAAUAUAUUGAACCGCAUGGUUCAAUAGUGAAAGACGGCUUUGCUGUCACUUAUAGAUGGAUCCGCGCCGCAUUAGCUAGUUGGUAAGGUAACGGCUUAUCAAGGCGACGAUGCGUAGCCGACCUGAGAGGGGGAUAGGCCACCUGAGAAGUGGGACGGGGACAAUGCGACUAAGGGAGGGAGCAGUAGGGAAUCGUCCGCAACGGGCGGAAACCUGGCGGAACAAGCGCGAGGGAGUGAUGAAGGUGCCGGGAGCGGAAAACCCGGUUAUGAGGGGAGAACAAAUGUGGAAGGAACCAUGCACGGCUUGACGGUACCUAAUCAGAAAGCCACGGCUAACUACGUG
Molecule: ribosomal RNA, 497 nt
Filed under: uncultured bacterium
Lineage: Bacteria
Description: partial 16S ribosomal RNA
Rfam family: Bacterial small subunit ribosomal RNA
Source: RNAcentral